Molecule: ribosomal RNA, 497 nt
Filed under: uncultured bacterium
Lineage: Bacteria
Description: partial 16S ribosomal RNA
Rfam family: Bacterial small subunit ribosomal RNA
Source: RNAcentral
GAUGAACGCUGGCGGCGUGCCUAAUACAUGCAAGUCGAGCGAACAGACGAGGAGCUUGCUCCUCUGACGUUAGCGGCGGACGGGUGAGUAACACGUGGAUAACCUACCUAUAAGACUGGGAUAACUUCGGGAAACCGGAGCUAAUACCGGAUAAUAUAUUGAACCGCAUGGUUCAAUAGUGAAAGACGGUUUUGCUGUCACUUAUAGAUGGAUCCGCGCCGCAUUAGCUAGUUGGGAAGGUAACGGCUUACCAAGGCAACGAUGCGUAGCCGACCUGAGCGGGUGAUCGGCCACACUGGAACUGAGACACGGUCCAGACUCCUACGGGAGGCAGCAGUAGGGAAUCUUCCGCAAUGGGCGAAAGCCUGACGGAGCAACGCCGCGUGAGUGAUGAAGGUCUUCGGAUCGUAAAACUCUGUUAUUAGGGAAGAACAAAUGUGUAAGUAACUAUGCACGUCUUGACGGUACCUAAUCAGAAAGCCACGGCUAACUACGUG